RNAcentral lists this long non-coding RNA (1744 nucleotides) under Setaria viridis. Its description in RNAcentral is "long non-coding RNA (SVIR_LNC005114)". Lineage: Eukaryota; Viridiplantae; Streptophyta; Magnoliopsida; Poales; Poaceae. The record is from RNAcentral.
UUUUAGGAACUUACAUUACACCCAAUCUGACGUGGCACUAUACGAUAGAACAGCAUGAUACAAUGCAUAGCAUGAAAGUACGUAGUCUCAAACCAAACCGAAGAAACAAACCCAAGCUCGCGCAGACGACCUCGGGAAGCAGAUCGAAAGGCGGAUCGGAGCAAGCCCAAACCAAAUCAAAGUUCCUCCAAUGCACGCGUGGCGUUCAUCACGCCUCCUCGGGAAGCAGCUGAUGUGCACCGGCGGGCGCCAUGAAGAGGCACUCGUACACCACCACGGCGAGGGGCCCGCCGGCCAGCGGCCCCACCCAGUACACCCAGUGGUGGGUCCACACGCCCGUGGCCAACGCCGGGCCGAACGACCGCGCCGGGUUCAUGGACGCGCCGGACAGGACGGCGCCGGCGAUGGAGUUGGCGCCGACGAGGAGCCCGGUGAGCAGCGGGCCGACGCCGGGGAGAAUCUUCCGAGGGUCCAGGAUGGUCGCGUAGAUCACGAACAGCAGGCUGAACGUGAAGACGACCUCGGCGACCACGCCCUGAAUGGGCCCCACGCCUGCCGCCAGAGCGUGCACCGGAGUGGCCUGCAUAUAUAGAUCGAUUUGUAUGUACAAUUAUAUACCGGAGAGAUUAACGACGACGACCAUGACUGCUAGCGGCGGCGGCGCCAACGUACCACCAGGCCUCCGGUGAGCCACCGGAGCAGGACGCAGGCCGUGGAGGAGCCGAGCAUCUGGGCGACGAUGUACAGGGCCGACCGGAACAGGGUGAUCUGGCCACCGACGGCCAUCGACAGCGUGACGGCCGGGUUCACGUGGCCGCCGGAGAUGUGGAAGCCCGCCGUCGCGAUCACGCACACCACCAGCGCCUGCCCCAGCGCCACCGCCGUUAGGUUGCCUCCGGCGUUGGUCUUUCCUGCAGACGCGUAAAUGGCAUGUUGCUUAUGUAGCAAUUAAUUGACAUCCUUGAAAACAUAAUAAUAAAUAUGAAAUGCUCUUUAAAAAUAGCCUUAAGAAUUAAGAUCGUGAUGCAUUCGCCUAAGUUAUGAAAGAGGAUGCAUGUGGUGACACCACUAAUUUCACCAUUAAUUUGGUAGCAACGGGUUAGCAGCUGUAGUUUAUUUUUAUCCCACGUCUCAUUGUUUUCAAAUCAAGAUUAAUUCAUUUAAAUGAGUUGUGUGGUCGACCCAAUGAUCCAACAAAUUAAAAAUGUAAUAAGUAUUAUAUAUUGCUCAUACUAAUUACUAAUAAUUGUAAAUUAGUAGCUUCGCUGUGCCGCUGUUAAUACUAUACGUCUGCGCACUGUCAAUACUACGCCUUCCAUUCUGUUAAUAAUUGUCCAUUGAGGAUAUAAAGAGUGUGGUUAUUUUAGUAGCUUUUCACUCACUACCUCUAAACAAAUAAUUUGAAAAGAAAUAGAAGUGGCUGUGUCAUAUUAUUUAAUAGGUUUAUGGAUGAUCAUUUCACAUGGACUUGAAACUCUCUCGAGCUGCCUAUAUGUAGCUGCAUACCGUCGAUUGUCAUGGCGGCCCCGACUUGGAUGAAGACGAAGAGGAAGGUGAGGACGAGCUCGCCGAGGACGCCGCGGAAGAAGUCCGGCUCCGACGCCUCGCCGCGGCGACCAAGUGCCAGCUUUCCCAUUGGCAAAUUAAAGGCACACACAAGAGAUAGCAGCUGGUCAGCAGGGGGCGUUGGAGAAUAAGCUAAGAGAGAUCUUUAUUCGAUGGCACACUUUAGCUUGCUUGUUCC